Molecule: long non-coding RNA, 930 nt
Organism: Cucumis sativus (cucumber)
Lineage: Eukaryota; Viridiplantae; Streptophyta; Magnoliopsida; Cucurbitales; Cucurbitaceae
Exons: 3
Source: RefSeq, a predicted model, not a curated record
AUGUGAAAGUCACACCCUUUCUCUAAUUCGUCUUCCUCUUCGAACCUCACUCCACCUACCAGACCAUCAGACGAACAACCAAUGUCGACCUCUCCAAACGGCUACUCUUGACUUGACUCCGGAACUCUUCCACAAGGGAUGAGGAUAGACGCUUCCUAUUUGGUCUCUUGAUACCCGACUCUGCUGAAACUCCCUACGGUGGAGAUCCCAUUCUUUCUACUCGGCCUAUUCACACUACUAGGGGGGUCUUCAUGAGACUGGGCGAGAGCCUAAAGAACUCUUGUAUCUGAGUGAUUGGCGGACGAUUUCAGUUAUGCUGCUGAGCCAGCAACGGGGCUCCUUUCUAUUUCCGACUAUCUCAAAUGUAGUCUGUCACCGCCAAUCGUCACCCACCGUCCAUCUCCGAAACUCCUCAUCCGCUGUCGGUGACAUUUUCUCAAACGCUAUUCAUCUUCUUCUCAACCUUCUAUUUCAGAUCCCAGCACUUUAGAAUCCAUUUUCAUUCAAAGGAGGGCUGAUGAUGACUCUGGGCAUCUUGGUUCUGUAGUGAGCAGAUAAUUUCUUUUCACAACUCGGCAGACGUUAUUUGUUAGUUUGUCCCUGGGUUUGUGGGCUUAUUCUUCGAGGUAUUCGACUACUUGCCUAGUCUUUUAGGUUUAUCCUCUGCUCAAUGAACUUGCAUUUAGUUCUUCUAGACUGGUCUCAACUUGUCAUUGUUAUUUUCUAUGUCACAAAUGAAAUAUCGUGACAACUACUGCUCACAUUUGUCAUUUUUGUGGGUGGAAAUGAAAUGUCGUGGUUAAAUAGCAAACUUAUUAAGUUUGGAAACUGACUGCAUAAACAAUUCUUCCACCUCAACUUGAAAUGUGCAAAAUUUUGAUCUGAGAGUUCUAAGAAGCAUAGUUGUUAAUCUACAACAACUUGCAUAGA